CCCUUAGAUGUUCUGGGCCGCACGCGCGCUACACUGACUGGUGCAACAAGUGUCGCUCCUUGGCCGAUAGGCCUGGGCAAUCUUUGAACGCCAGUCGUGAUGGGGAUAGAUUCUUGCAAUUUUUGAUCUUCAACGAGGAAUUCCUAGUAAACGCGAGUCAUCAACUCGCAUUGAUUACGUCCCUGCCCUUUGUACACACCGCCCGUCGCACCUACCGAUUGAAUGGUCCGGUGAAGCGUUCGGACCGUGGCCUUUGGACGGUUCGCCGUCUGUUGGCUGCGGGAAGUUCGUUAAACCUUAUCAUUUAGAGGAAGGAGAAGUCGUANCA
RNAcentral lists this ribosomal RNA (328 nucleotides) under uncultured eukaryote. Its description in RNAcentral is "partial 18S ribosomal RNA". It matches the Rfam family "Eukaryotic small subunit ribosomal RNA", at positions 1470 to 1796 of the family's 1831-position model. The record is from RNAcentral.